GCUAGCUCGGCCCGAUCAACCACCUUUAUUUACUUCCCAUAUAUAUAAAUAUAUAAAAACCCUAAUUCACUCCUCAUGAUCCCUGCCGCUGCACAUCUGUUUGGCUAUCUGAUGUGCGGAGUCCAUCACACACCUUCCUCUUCUCAUGUGCUACUCUAAUUUUUCUGCUCCCUUCCAUCGUGCAUCCCACAGCCACAUGUGUUUUCCCUCUUGCGACCGUCCACCCCUCCACCUCUGAUUUCUCUACUUCCUCCGCUGAUCUAAUGCGUGACGCUCAACACCGUCGCCAACUGUAGCACGUCAUGGCUCCAACACUAGUGUCCCUAGUCGAGCGACUGCAGCACACUCCAACAUGUGGAGCCCCUCUUCUCUACCUGUGUGUGCGAUAGCGGCAUGUCGAGCCUAGCAGGUCGUCGAGCCGACUUGGCAUGGGCCGCCUCCUUUAGGGUCGUGCACUCGUGCUUGGGUUAUUGGUGCAGCCAGCCCGAUGCACCUGACGGGCCAUGCUGGCCCACUGACCUCUAGAUCAUGCCGAGCAUGGGCCUGUGCGAUGGCAAGUCGGGUAGCCCGAAUAGCCAUAUGUAGCUGUGGCGGGGCGGCGGAGUGGUGGGCGACGACGGGGACGAGAGUUGCCUAGGAUAAGAGGUAGAAGGUGCUGGUGAGGAGGAAGAAAGGGAAGAGAGCGGCGCGAGGAAAGAGACGGCCACGCAACGAAUGCACGUGCGUUAGCCACAUAUUUUUAUUAUAUACAUCGGUAUAAGAAAGUUAUUGCUUGUAUAUUUGAUCUAUUUUAUAUUUUAACACUGGAGUGACAAGUUAAGUAUUUUUAUCUAAAAUCCUAGUCUUCAAGGAUCUUAUUAAAAUAUUUGGAAAAUAUUUGUUUAAUUUCACUAGCCAUGAGAAAACCCCUUGCCACUGGCUACAUUCUAAGAGGAUGGUUGCUUAACGGAGUUAAUAUUGUUGUCAGCUUCAGACUCUUCGGAGCAAAAGAGAUCGGCUUGGCUUGACUGGAGCCAAGAAUAGAGGAGCACCGAAAGAAAAAUCAUCUCUAGGAGAUCAGCACCGAUUAGGAGCAAAAGACAGAGCCACAUCAUGCCACGUAAGGACGACAAGAGCCAACUUGCCAAGUCACUGCCCAACUUGCCCGGUCACAUUUCAGGUACGGUACCACCGCCUUCUCCACACACUUCCUUUUACCCAGCGCACCGCUUUUCCACCGAAAAAACUGGCCUCGCGAAGGUAUACCCCACGCCAUCGCCCAUCGCCCAUCGCCCAUCGGUAGCCGCCGGGUUUCCAGACCCAGAGCAAACUGCCGCAAAACGGCAAAAAAAACUCCCGCGAGACCCCGCGUAGGUAGCGUCCUUUGCGUGCCGCCGCUCUCGCGAUCGCGAGGACGCAACCGCGCCGCCAUCGCAUCGCCACGCCACGUGACUGCGCGCGGCCCCGGUGGUGGGCGCCUGGCCGAAAGGCGGCAGUCCUUCCUCGCCCGUGCGGGGCGCGUGAAUAGGGUGCUGCCGUGCCGUGGGGGCCCGCUGGGACGGUAGUGAUGCGCUACGCGCGAGACUAGUCCCUCCGCUCACGCGGCCGGCCGUGGGCUCGCGCGGUCGCUGUUUCGCAGAAGCGGGGUGUCCCGCGGCGUGAUUGGACGGACGGCCAGGAUCGUGCGGGCUCCAUUCCAUUGCUGGUGACAGUCGCUGAUUAAACCAGGUGGUCUGUGAAGUUGGCAAUAAUCGCUUUUUCAUCAUGGAAGACUCUGGUCUUAGUUUUAAGUUUGAAAAAAAAAAAGUCUAUUUUUCCUCCCCAAAUUUCAUAAAAGUCUGAUUUUCUUUCCUCAGCUCCAAAACCGGACAAACCAUCUCUCAUAAUUUUUCAAACCAUAUGUUUUAUCUUUCUAGAGUGGUUUCGAAUGCGGUUUUGCUACCGCGAACGAAUGGUGGUUUUGGUACAGUAACAGUGGUUUUAUCUUUUUAAUUUUUUUAAUUAUUUCGGCUAAGGCCUUGUUUAGUUCGCGAAAAUUUUUGGAUUUCGCUACUGUAGCACUUUCGACUUUAUUUGGCAAUUAUUAUUCAAUUAUAGACUAAUUAGGCUCAAAAGAUUCGUCUCGCAAAAUACAGGUAAACUGUGCAAUUAGCUAUCUUUUUUAUCUACAUUUAAUGCUUCAUGUAUGUGUCGCAAGAUUCGAUGUGACGGGGAAUCUUGAAAAAUAUUGGGAACUAAACAAGGCCUAAAUCUUUGAAAAUCAUAGUAACUCACAGAAAAAUCAUAAAAUAAAAAAUCUAAUUUUGUUGGACUCCAUGUAAGUAGAUAUACACAAUGAAUAUAUAAUAUGCUAUGCUUUAGUACACAGUUUUUGCUAUAAAGGUUUUGUCUUUUUUUCUUUUAUAUUUAUUCCGACUAAAUCAUUGAAAAUCAUAGUAAAUUAUAGAAAAAUCAUAAAAUAGAAAAUCUAUAUUUUUUAGACUCCACAGGAGCAUAUCUACACAUUAAAUAUAUAAUAUAGUAUGCUUUAGUAUAGUUUUUUUGUUAUAGCUUUAGAUCUAUGUUUUUCUGUAAUUAAUUGAAAUAAUUCAUAGUUACAGCUUUUAUAAUUAUUUUGUCGGACUAAAGCACACCCAUAUUAUAUGUUUAUUGUGUAUAUAUACUCAUGUGGAGUCCAAUAGAAUUAUAUUUUCUAUUUUGAGAUUUUUUUAUGAUUUUUUAAAGAUUCAACCAAAUAAAUAAAAAAGGAAAAAACAAAACCUUUAUAGCAAAAACUUUGUACUAAAGCAUACCAUAUUUUAUGUUCACUGUGUAGAUCUACUUAUGUGAAGUCUAAAAAAAUUGGAUUUUUCAUUUUUAUGAUUUUCUGAUGAUUUACUAUGAUUUUUUUAAAGAUUCAACUGAAAUAAUUAAAAAAGAAAAAGAUAAAACCACUGUCACUAUAGCAAAACCACUGUUCACUGUAGCGAAACCGCCUUCGAAACUGCUCCAAAGAGGUAAACUUCACGGUUUAAAAAUUGAGGAAGAUAAUUUACCUGAUUUUAAAGUUGAAGGGGAAAAAGUGAACUUUCGUGAAAAUUGAGGAAGAAAAGUAGACAUUUUCCUUAAAUUUUUUUAAUGAGCUGCUUGCUUGUGGAUCUACCAUGGCCCAUGGGCUCAUGGGGUGGUUCCUGGAGGCACUCCUACGUUUUUGAUACAUGACGGCAAAUAAAAAUUUUGUCUGCCUUUUGCUAAUCCUCGAGACUGAUGCUGACAGACUCAAAUAACUGAGGCCUUUUAGAACGCAGGAAUUUCCCAUAAAUUAUACAGAAAUUUUGUAAGCAUCAGAUGAUUUUCAUAGAAAAAAACAUAGGAUACAGAAAAAUUCCAGCGCGUAUGCCAGGUCACUUGCUGGUAGCACGAGUGCAUCAUACCUCACAGCUCGUUACGAUCCAUUAAUCGACUCGCAGGAUCACGGCACUUUUCAAAGAAUCCUUAACCCUAAAAGCUAGCACACCAAUUGACGUCCCAGUAAUCAAUUCUAGUAAAAAAGAAUCCAUCCGGAUUGUCUGGUAAUGACCCUUUGAGAAGAAAAAUAGUAAAUGUUUACUACAGUCUAUGGUGUGCUGUACAUGAAGCGAAGCAACGCAAACAUUACCCUCAUCUUAAAUUUCAGCCUUUUCCUCUUUACCGGAGGAGCCAAGCCAAGGUUUUUACAGAGGUGCUCGUCAGGCUGCAGCGUCUUGGGAACAACACCAAAUGCACAGACAAGGCUUGGUGCAGGUAAACUGAGGAGUCCUUAAGUUCUGUUUCAGUUUAUGAGUUCUUACAAAAGCAGACACUAAAGCCCUCGAGUUUUGAUGGGUCCUGGACUCCGGCACAUGAGGAUUUCUAUCAGCAGCCUCAAUGAAUCUCUCAGUAGAAUGCAGAAAGAUUUGCCCAAUUUGCAGCCUCUUUAGUAGAAUGCAGCACAGACUCUGAACCUUAACAGUUCUGAUUGGCUCAGCACAAUGCCCCAUUAGUCUACGGCUUCACAUACUUGUCGACAUACCCCUGAAGAAAAAUAAAACCAAGUCAGUGGAGCCAGAUAUUUAUUGAAACAAACAUGUGCUGAACAAGAAAAAUAGCACGGUAGAGAGCUAAUGGAGAAUAUGGUACCGUUGGUUUGGAAAUAUUAGAUUUGGGGGCUGAAUCACAUUUUCUUAAGUAAACAUGGUGAUACAAAGCUCUCAUUCCAGAAAAAGUAUGUGAGCUCAAAACUUGCAAGCACAGAAUCAGAUAGUUUGAAACAUUUCUAUUUCUAACUUGACAUGUAUGCCAUCCACUUAUGUGGGGCCUAUUGAUCCAGACAGAUUUUAAAUCCCAUGAUGGAAUUCAGAAACUUAAACCAAGAUGUCAGUCCAAGUGAUGAAACAAAUUAUUGCCAUAUGAUGACCAAACAAGAUAAAUGUAGACAAUAUACUCAAUUAAGUGACAUUACCGAACUCCACUAAAUAAUUACCAAAUUUCUGGAUGACAACAUAACACGGACUUCAGGACAUCAGAGCUUAGGAGCUUAAUAGCAUGACACCAACUAAUUGUGACUUGUGUUUCUCAGUAUCAAAUAUCAAGGGCAUGGCAUAAUUUCCACUUCUCCAUGAUGUUCACAUGCCAUGAACAAGACUAUUGCAUAAUAUUGUCACAGAAUGCUACAAACAUAUGAACAGAAAUAAUAUGUACGCAAAUAACCAAUAUUCUAGACAUGUGACGAUAGACAUACCAUUACUAAUUUGGUCACCUUCUUUUGAGAGGAUUGUACAUAAUGUUUAAUCCUGGCAGGUGUUUUCGGAAUAUGACUGCUAGGGACUGAAUUAGAAACCUUAUCAACUGUUUUCCUGACAAUAGUUUUGAAAGCCUCUUUGCUCAUGUUACCUUGCCUCCAUGAUGGCUUAAGAACUUCCUUAACAAAAUCGGCAAUAGCAAUCUUAAAAAGUUUCAUUGACCUGGAGUCUUUACCCUUCUUAUUUGUGUCCAAUGUUUGGUCAUUGUCAGCAUCACCAGGGAUAUCUGAGUUCCAGUCUUUAGCACCCAAAAAUUCAGGACUUGCAUUCUCCACCACACCUGCCUCAGUAUCUGCUGCCACCUCUCCAAGUCCCUCAACUUCUGACUCAGCAACAACCCCCAGUCCAUACAUAUUUUCACUGUCCACUUCUAGGUUCAUAAGUUUUGAUGCAUCACGACUAUCAGCAGCACUCCAGUUCUUCUCUUUACGAAGAUCUACCUUGUUGAUUGAACUGCUCGAUGGUUCAAUACUGUCAAGCAAUGGAUCAUAUGGAGCACCAGAAGCAAACUCCUGACGGAAUAACUUUUGUUUAAUGGGCACAGGUUCUGCAGAACUUUCAUGGGCAUGUGUUCUGGAUCGACCAAAAGGGGACACUGUAUUCAUGUGUUCUGUUGUGGAAACAGAACCAAUUGCAUUAGGG
RNAcentral lists this long non-coding RNA (5420 nucleotides) under Sorghum bicolor (sorghum). Its description in RNAcentral is "long non-coding RNA (SBIC_LNC017030)". The record is from RNAcentral. Lineage: Eukaryota; Viridiplantae; Streptophyta; Magnoliopsida; Poales; Poaceae.